GUGGGGAAUAUUGGACAAUGGGCGAAAGCCUGAUCCAGCAAUGCCGCGUGAGUGAUGAAGGCCCUAGGGUUGUAAAGCUCUUUUACCCGGGAUGAUAAUGACAGUACCGGGAGAAUAAGCUCCGGCUAACUUCGUGCCAGCAGCCGCGGUAAUACGAGGGGAGCUAGCGUUGUUCGGAAUUACUGGGCGUAAAGCGCGCGUAGGCGGUUUUUUAAGUCAGAGGUGAAAGCCCGGGGCUCAACCCCGGAAUUGCCUUUGAAACUGGAAAACUAGAAGCUUGGGGAAGUCAAUGGAAUUCCGAGUGUAGAAGUGAAAAACGUAGAUAUGCGGAAGAACACCAGUGGCGGAGGCGACUGACUGGACAAGUAUUGACGCUGAGGUGCGAAAGCGACGGGAGCAAACAGGAUUAGAUACCCUAGUAGUCC
This 425-nucleotide ribosomal RNA is filed under the name uncultured bacterium. RNAcentral describes it as "partial 16S ribosomal RNA". It matches the Rfam family "Bacterial small subunit ribosomal RNA", at positions 354 to 796 of the family's 1533-position model. The record is from RNAcentral.